RNAcentral lists this long non-coding RNA (1314 nucleotides) under Canis lupus dingo (dingo). Its description in RNAcentral is "lncRNA (ENSCAFG00020005522.1)". Lineage: Eukaryota; Metazoa; Chordata; Mammalia; Carnivora; Canidae. The record is from RNAcentral.
GUCGGUCUUCGCUGCGAGCGCCUGUGCCCGCCGCCCACGUCCUCCCGGUCCCCGUCGUCAAUGCGGGCGCAGCACCACCCACCAGCUUUAAGGCGGCCGAAGCCGCGGACCCUCGUCCUGAGGUCACCGCCAGAGGCGUGGAGGAGCGGGGCCCGGGGCCCGGGAGCCGGUUCCCCCAGGACCGUGAGGCUGCAGCCAGCCCCGAGGGGCGGCGCCGGCCAGAGGCUCUGUGAUAGUGCAGGUGCGUGCGGGUGCGUGCGGGUGCGUACGGGUGUGUACGGGUGUGUGCAGGUGCGUACAGGUGUGUGCGGGUGUAUGCGGGUGCGUGCAGGUGCGUGCGGGUGCGUGCGGGUGUGUGCAGGUGCGUGGGGUGUGUACGGGUGCGUGCAGGUGCGUGCGGGUGUGUACAGGUGUGUGCAGGUGCGUGCGGGUGUGUACAGGUGUGUGCAGGUGCAUGCGGGUGUGUACGGGUGUGUGCAGGUGCGUACAGGUGUGUGCGGGUGUAUGCGGGUGCGUGCAGGUGCGUGCGGGUGCGUGCGGGUGUGUGCAGGUGCGUACAGGUGUGUGCGGGUGUAUGCGGGUGCGUGCGGGUGUGUACGGGUGCGUGCGGGUGUGUGCAGGUGCGUGCGGGUGUGUACAGGUGUGUGCAGGUGCAUGCGGGUGUGUACGGGUGUGUGCAGGUGCGUACAGGUGUGUGCGGAUGUAUGCGGGUGCGUGCAGGUGCGUGCGGGUGCAUGCGGGUGUGUACGGGUGUGUGCAGGUGCGUACAGGUGUGUGCGGAUGUAUGCGGGUGCGUGCAGGUGCAUGCGGGUGCAUGCGGGUGUGUACGGGUGUGUGCAGGUGCGUGGGGUGUGUAUGGGUGGGUGCAGGUGCGUGCGGGUGUGUACGGGUGCGUGCAGGUGCGUGCAGGUGCGUGCGGGUGCGUGCGGGUGUGUACAGGUGUGUGCGGGUGCGUGCAGGUGCGUGGGGUGUGUACGGGUGCGUGCAGGUGCGUGCGGGUGCGUGCGGGUGUGUACGGGUGCGUGCGGUGCGUGCAGGUGUGUGCAGGUGCGUGCAGGUGAGGGCCUCUCCUGCCUGAGUCCAGCCAGACACAGGCUCAGCCUCCAGGGCAGAGCCCUCAGUGGGGCCCGGCCCGCGCCAGUACCCAGUACCCGGCUCCGCGAGCUCUGCGGGGUGGGGGUGGGGGUGGGGUGGGGUGGGGGUGUCUCAGCUCCUCCCCCCCCCCCCCCCCCCGGGGAGACGCAGGCUGGGGCUGGGCCUUGUCGUUUCGCUGUCGGGCAGGAGCGCCGACUCCUCCUCCAGGAGGCCCGCCCG